CACUGAAUACAUAGGUGUAAGAGGCGAACCGGGGGAACUGAAACAUCUAAGUACCCAGAGGAAAAGAAAUCAAUUGAGAUUCCCACAGUAGCGGCGAGCGACCUGGGACCAGCCCUAAAGUGUGUGGUGUGAUAGUGGAACGGUCUGGAAAGUCCGGCGAUACAGGGUGAUAGCCCCGUACACGAAAUCUAUCCAUGCAUUAUUCGAGUAAGUCGGGACACGUGUUAUCUUGACUGAACAUGGGGGGACCAUCCUCCAAGGCUAAAUAC
RNAcentral lists this ribosomal RNA (269 nucleotides) under Schmidingerella taraikaensis. RNAcentral's name for it is "partial Bacterial large subunit ribosomal RNA". It matches the Rfam family "Bacterial large subunit ribosomal RNA", at positions 156 to 473 of the family's 2925-position model. The record is from RNAcentral. Lineage: Eukaryota; Ciliophora; Spirotrichea; Tintinnida; Rhabdonellidae.